Prionailurus viverrinus (fishing cat) is the source of this 347-nucleotide long non-coding RNA. RefSeq lists it as uncharacterized. The transcript has 3 exons. NCBI's taxonomy places the organism in Eukaryota, Metazoa, Chordata, Mammalia, Carnivora, Felidae. The record is from RefSeq and is a predicted model, not a curated record.
CUCCUGCCGGCGCAUCAGCACCAGGGUUUGCUGGUGAGGACGACAGGAAGGAAAACUGGGGAAAGUUCGGGAAGCCGAGUAACUUUUGAGAGGUCCGAUGGGGGAGGAAGGCCCAGGUCCGUAAUCACAGGAGCCUCGUGCAAAAUCUAAUUACAACUUGGGCGGAAACGGAGGCCAGAAACAAGUGUCAUUCAUCAACUGAAAACACCAACUAAGCGCAAAUUAAAGACUCGAGGCAGCUGGACAGUGCCCCAGGGAGAGCUAAAUAAUGAAGGAUCGCCAUCGCAGGCUCUUAGGCCCAGAGACAGCACAUGAGCAGGGGAGGGGCAGAGAGAGAGGGACACACA